UCGUUCCUACCCAUCAGCUGGGGUCAGACGAGCUAUAGCGCAGACGCAUCCGGGUCACCUUGACUACCGGGCCAAGGACCCCGUGGGAACUCUCAGUCCGCGCCAUCCUGUUCCACCGAGCGGGGCGCCCACGGAGAGGUGCCUAGAGAGAAGACCUGCCCGGCAAGAACCUAAGGGAAGAGUAGCGGAGGAAUUAGAAGUGGCUUAAAAAA
Lontra canadensis (Northern American river otter) is the source of this 212-nucleotide long non-coding RNA. RefSeq lists it as uncharacterized. NCBI's taxonomy places the organism in Eukaryota, Metazoa, Chordata, Mammalia, Carnivora, Mustelidae. The record is from RefSeq and is a predicted model, not a curated record. The transcript has 2 exons.